GGGAGGGGGGGGGGGGGCGAUCGACAACACAGGUAUGUGAUCACUCAAUACAAAUAGUCCUUAAAAUGUGUGUGUGCAGUGGGGUGGGGGGGGGGAAGAAGCUUACUUUUUUUGGCUUGAUCUGCUUCUGAAAAAAAAAAUAAAACAAAGGUCAACCGUGAGUGUCAAGAUGGUUCAGGGAGUUAACAGUCAAAAACAGAAAUGGUACAAGACGUUACUGUUCCAUAUCGGAGCAAGAAAUCUGAAUUGAAGGGAGAUUGUGCCAUGAUCGAUAAGCAUGUACGGAAUGAAGUGUGCUUAGUUUGGUUCUUUGGGGUCGAAGGUCAUGAUGGUAUGUACAGUCAUCCUCUUUAGCUUGCCACUAAACAGUUUUGUUUUUUUCCCCUCCCAUUUCCAGAGGCGCAACUUGCACAUAAAAGGAGAAAUAUUUCUAUAGAGGGGACUCAUUUUCACAGAAGUGCAUUCUUCUUCUUCACGGUGCAAAGGUGGCAGCAGCAUUUUAUAUGGAGGCGGCUGAAGUAUGGAAUCUUGGAGCCAAGUGGUUGUCAGUGCGCCCUCCAGCGGACAAAACGACAAUGUUUAUUAACGCUGAAGUUAAUAAACGUUCCCUGACGGUGAGAGAUGAGUGUAAAAAAGAAAAGCGCAUCAGAGAUGGACCAGCGUGUCGUACAAAGGAGAUGCGAAGCCGUACUCUGAGCCGUCUCGCAGACCACUCCGUUCUCCAGAUCGUCCAAGCAGCUGACACGUUCCCACUUGCCCGUGUCGCUGUGCACGGCCACGCACGUUUCCAUGGGCACAAAGUCCAACGGGGACGAGCCCGGUUCCCAGUUGGUAAACUUGACCGGCUCUUCGUCGAACCACAUCAUGCCU
Hippocampus zosterae (dwarf seahorse) is the source of this 870-nucleotide long non-coding RNA. RefSeq lists it as uncharacterized. The record is from RefSeq and is a predicted model, not a curated record. The transcript has 2 exons. Lineage: Eukaryota; Metazoa; Chordata; Actinopteri; Syngnathiformes; Syngnathidae.